Molecule: ribosomal RNA, 388 nt
Filed under: Philorhizus melanocephalus
Lineage: Eukaryota; Metazoa; Arthropoda; Insecta; Coleoptera; Carabidae
Description: bacterial SSU rRNA
Rfam family: Eukaryotic small subunit ribosomal RNA
Source: RNAcentral
AGGAGUGGAGCCUGCGGCUUAAUUUGACUCAACACGGGAAACCUCACCAGGCCCAGACACUGGAAGGAUUGACAGAUUGAGAGCUCUUUCUUGAUUCAGUGGGUGGUGGUGCAUGGCCGUUCUUAGUUGGUGGAGCGAUUUGUCUGGUUAAUUCCGAUAACGAACGAGACUCUAGCCUGCUAAAUAGACGUUAAACUUUCCAGUAUCUCGAAGGUCGCAUCUCUUGAUACUUUACUUUAAGCACUAUAACACGUGUUUUUAGUAGGUUCUUGAGUUUGUGGUUUUUACUACUGGCGUAUAUAUAAUUCUUCUUAGAGGGACAGGCGGCUUCUAGCCGCACGAGAUUGAGCAAUAACAGGUCUGUGAUGCCCUUAGAUGUUCUGGGCCG